AGAACGAACGCUGGCGGCAGGCUUAACACAUGCAAGUCGAGCGCCCCGCAAGGGGAGCGGCAGACGGGUGAGUAACGCGUGGGAACAUACCUUCCGGUUCGGAAUAGCUCAGGGAAACUUGGAUUAAUACCGGAUAUGACCUUUGAGGGCAUCCUCGAAGGUGUAAAGGAUUCUGGCUAGGGAUGGGCCCGCGGCCUAUCAGCUUGUUGGUGGGGUAAUGGCCUACCAAGGCGACGACGGGUAG
This 244-nucleotide ribosomal RNA is filed under the name uncultured bacterium. RNAcentral's name for it is "partial small subunit ribosomal RNA". It matches the Rfam family "Bacterial small subunit ribosomal RNA", at positions 26 to 286 of the family's 1533-position model. The record is from RNAcentral.